This 1696-nucleotide long non-coding RNA is filed under the name Phoenix dactylifera (date palm). Its description in RNAcentral is "long non-coding RNA (PDAC_LNC003405)". Lineage: Eukaryota; Viridiplantae; Streptophyta; Magnoliopsida; Arecales; Arecaceae. The record is from RNAcentral.
UGUGUUUAAUGUAUACUAAAUCUUUAUUAUUGAGCCCGAGCCCUCAGGCUCGAGGUCUGAUUUGAGCUCGUAAUUAAAACGAGCUUUACGAGCUCAAGUCCGAACAUUUUCUUUGUCAAGCAAGUCCGAGCUCGAACACAAUACAGAGCUCGAUACCAAGCCCAAGCCCGAACAUCUGUAAAACAAGCCGAGCUCGAGCCUCCUCAAGCUCGGCUCGUUAAUAGGCCUAAUUGCAAGUCUUUCAAAUCAUGGGGCACCCAGCACCUCAAUUAUGAUAUGACCAAAUUAGAUUUGCCCAAAUUCUUUCCCAAAAGCACAAAGAAAGCGGUAGCAUCUGAAUUUGAACCGGAUCCAACCCGGAUCCGACCCAAAUCGGACUAAACCCGACCCAGAGUCAAAAAUUAUAGGCAUGGACCCGACAAGCAGCCCUUUUUAGGAGACGAGGCAAGUCUCAUCCCACCACUAUCAGGACUUGGUGACCGUGCCCACUACAAUGAUACGGCAAGUGUUUUUUUAAUGCCACCUUUAUUUUUUUUCUUUUUUCUUAGGAAAAAAAAAGAGGGGAGAGAAGAAUUAACCCCCCCCCCACGUAGCAACCCCCACUGGGCCACCCUUCCACCCUUCCACCAGAAAAUAUCCGAUGCGGAUAGACAACACACUCAUACCCUCCCCGAUCCGUUAGGAGCCCCACCAACGUGACAGCCCUUUCUACAUGUGAAUAUGUCACUCCAACACCAUCUCAGUACCGACAGACCAAAUGACGACUCCACCGAUCAAACCAUGCGGGAGGCAUCCGGUUCCCGUAUUUAAUCGACACCUGCGCGUUUCGAAGGGCCACUCUAAUGUAAUCUUAGCCCCAUCCCAACUGUGCUACCACCUUGGUGGUAUGCCACCUAUCUAUUUGAUCCGAUUCUUUUUCUCGGGCUAAAGAUAAAACUGGAACGGAUCGGGAGUUAAAAAAAAAUCUUUUGAGUUUUAAAAUAUUUUGUUUUCUGAUUCCCCACAGUUGCAUUUAUUCUAAAUCGGUUUAAUAAAUCCAGUUUACCAUCCGUUUCGAAAAAGAAAAAAAAAUAAGAAUAUCUGAUCUUUGCUUGCCAAAUAUACCUUUCUCGACCUUUCUGCUAAUAUUAUUCUAUGAUUUGUUUUAAACAAAUAACUGACACAAAGGAUUUGAACCCCCUUAGAGGAGAGGUGCAAAAAAAACUAAGUGGACGCAAAAUCCCCAAAUUCCCAAAACCCUAGCGUCAAAACAAGAACAUGAUCUUCUAAAAAUCACUUCAAAUCGAAUGGGUUAAAACAUCGAAAGUUAAAAAAAUGCAGAAAAUUAAAUAGAAUGGGAAGGAAAAUGAGCAAAAGCCAAAAGGACAGGGACAUAUCUCGGAUAAAGAGAGAGAAGGGAGAGAGGCUCAGAGUCGCACUUGAUCCAUCAUUAUGGCGUAGAGGGAGAGGGAGAUCCCACUUUCCUCCCCAUCUCUGCACUCUUCUCAACGGCUGGUGGCUACAGCGGUUGCCUGCGAAGCAUCAGACCUUCCUUUCUGCCCCGCCACCGUUGCCUAGAAAGAGUAAUGCAAAGAUCUCGGUUUCUCAUCACCGCCUCUUCAGAACACACACACAUACACACACACACACACACAGAGAGAAAGAAGGAGGGGAGAGAGAGAGAGAGAGAGAGAGAGAGAGAGAGAGAGAGAGAGAN